AACGAACGCUGGCGGCAGGCUUAACACAUGCAAGUCGAACGGGCGUAGCAAUACGUCAGUGGCAGACGGGUGAGUAACGCGUGGGAAUGUGCCCUUUAGUUCGGAAUAACACAGAGAAAUUUGUGCUAAUACCGGAUAAGCCCGAGAGGGGAAAGAUUUAUCGCUGAAGGAGCAGCCCGCGUCUGAUUAGCUAGUUGGUGAGGUAAUGGCUCAACAAGGCGACGAUCAGUAGCUGGUCUGAGAGGAUGAUCAGCCACACUGGGACUGAGACACGGCCCAGACUCCUACGGGAGGCAGCAGUGGGGAAUAUUGGACAAUGGGGGCAACCCUGAUCCAGCCAUGCCGCGUGAGUGAUGAAGGCCUUAGGGUUGUAAAACUCUUUUGUCCGGGAAGAUAAUGACUGUACCGGAAGAAUAAGCCCCGGCUAACUUCGUGCCAGCCGCCGCCGUAA
Molecule: ribosomal RNA, 451 nt
Filed under: uncultured bacterium
Lineage: Bacteria
Description: partial 16S ribosomal RNA
Rfam family: Bacterial small subunit ribosomal RNA
Source: RNAcentral